GGGUUGUGAGGUUAAGCGACUAAGCGUACACGGUGGAUGCCCUGGCAGUCAGAGGCGAUGAAGGACGUGCUAAUCUGCGAUAAGCGUCGGUAAGGUGAUAUGAACCGUUAUAACCGGCGAUUUCCGAAUGGGGAAACCCAGUGUGAUUCGUCACACUAUCAUUAACUGAAUCCAUAGGUUAAUGAGGCGAACCGGGGGAACUGAAACAUCUAAGUACCCCGAGGAAAAGAAAUCAACCGAGAUUCCCCCAGUAGCGGCGAGCGAACGGGGAGCAGCCCAGAGCCUGAAUCAGUGUGUGUGUUAGUGGAAGCGUCUGGAAAGGCGUGCGAUACAGGGUGACAGCCCCGUACACAAAAAUGCACAUACUGUGAGCUCGAUGAGUAGGGCGGGACACGUGGUAUCCUGUCUGAAUAUGGGGGGACCAUCCUCCAAGGCUAAAUACUCCUGACUGACCGAUAGUGAACCAGUACCGUGAGGGAAAGGCGAAAAGAACCCCGGCGAGGGGAGUGAAAAAGAACCUGAAACCGUGUACGUACAAGCAGUGGGAGCACGCUUAGGCGUGUGACUGCGUACCUUUUGUAUAAUGGGUCAGCGACUUAUAUUCUGUAGCAAGGUUAACCGAAUAGGGGAGCCGAAGGGAAACCGAGUCUUAACUGGGCGUUAAGUUGCAGGGUAUAGACCCGAAACCCGGUGAUCUAGCCAUGGGCAGGUUGAAGGUUGGGUAACACUAACUGGAGGACCGAACCGACUAAUGUUGAAAAAUUAGCGGAUGACUUGUGGCUGGGGGUGAAAGGCCAAUCAAACCGGGAGAUAGCUGGUUCUCCCCGAAAGCUAUUUAGGUAGCGCCUCGUGAAUUCAUCUCCGGGGGUAGAGCACUGUUUCGGCAAGGGGGUCAUCCCGACUUACCAACCCGAUGCAAACUGCGAAUACCGGAGAAUGUUAUUACGGGAGACACACGGCGGGUGCUAACGUCCGUCGUGAAGAGGGAAACAACCCAGACCGCCAGCUAAGGUCCCAAAGUCAUGGUUAAGUGGGAAACGAUGUGGGAAGGCCCAGACAGCCAGGAUGUUGGCUUAGAAGCAGCCAUCAUUUAAAGAAAGCGUAAUAGCUCACUGGUCGAGUCGGCCUGCGCGGAAGAUGUAACGGGGCUAAACCAUGCACCGAAGCUGCGGCAGCGACGCUUAUGCGUUGUUGGGUAGGGGAGCGUUCUGUAAGCCUGUGAAGGUGUGCUGUGAGGUAUGCUGGAGGUAUCAGAAGUGCGAAUGCUGACAUAAGUAACGAUAAAGCGGGUGAAAAGCCCGCUCGCCGGAAGACCAAGGGUUCCUGUCCAACGUUAAUCGGGGCAGGGUGAGUCGACCCCUAAGGCGAGGCCGAAAGGCGUAGUCGAUGGGAAACAGGUUAAUAUUCCUGUACUUGGUGUUACUGCGAAGGGGGGACGGAGAAGGCUAUGUUGGCCGGGCGACGGUUGUCCCGGUUUAAGCGUGUAGGCUGGUUUUCCAGGCAAAUCCGGAAAAUCAAGGCCGAGGCGUGAUGACGAGGCACUACGGUGCUGAAGCAACAAAUGCCCUGCUUCCAGGAAAAGCCUCUAAGCAUCAGGUAACAUCAAAUCGUACCCCAAACCGACACAGGUGGUCAGGUAGAGAAUACCAAGGCGCUUGAGAGAACUCGGGUGAAGGAACUAGGCAAAAUGGUGCCGUAACUUCGGGAGAAGGCACGCUGAUACGUAGGUGAAGCGACUUGCUCGUGGAGCUGAAAUCAGUCGAAGAUACCAGCUGGCUGCAACUGUUUAUUAAAAACACAGCACUGUGCAAACACGAAAGUGGACGUAUACGGUGUGACGCCUGCCCGGUGCCGGAAGGUUAAUUGAUGGGGUUAGCGCAAGCGAAGCUCUUGAUCGAAGCCCCGGUAAACGGCGGCCGUAACUAUAACGGUCCUAAGGUAGCGAAAUUCCUUGUCGGGUAAGUUCCGACCUGCACGAAUGGCGUAAUGAUGGCCAGGCUGUCUCCACCCGAGACUCAGUGAAAUUGAACUCGCUGUGAAGAUGCAGUGUACCCGCGGCAAGACGGAAAGACCCCGUGAACCUUUACUAUAGCUUGACACUGAACAUUGAGCCUUGAUGUGUAGGAUAGGUGGGAGGCUUUGAAGUGUGGACGCCAGUCUGCAUGGAGCCGACCUUGAAAUACCACCCUUUAAUGUUUGAUGUUCUAACGUGGACCCGUGAUCCGGGUUGCGGACAGUGUCUGGUGGGUAGUUUGACUGGGGCGGUCUCCUCCUAAAGAGUAACGGAGGAGCACGAAGGUUGGCUAAUCCUGGUCGGACAUCAGGAGGUUAGUGCAAUGGCAUAAGCCAGCUUGACUGCGAGCGUGACGGCGCGAGCAGGUGCGAAAGCAGGUCAUAGUGAUCCGGU
RNAcentral lists this ribosomal RNA (2407 nucleotides) under Shigella flexneri. RNAcentral's name for it is "partial 23S ribosomal RNA". It matches the Rfam family "Bacterial large subunit ribosomal RNA", at positions 1 to 2424 of the family's 2925-position model. The record is from RNAcentral. Lineage: Bacteria; Pseudomonadati; Pseudomonadota; Gammaproteobacteria; Enterobacterales; Enterobacteriaceae.